Homo sapiens (human) is the source of this 459-nucleotide long non-coding RNA. NCBI's taxonomy places the organism in Eukaryota, Metazoa, Chordata, Mammalia, Primates, Hominidae. The record is from Ensembl.
UGGCUCUUCCAAAGGAUUUAUUGGUCCUAUUUACAUCUAUUGCAAAUUGUGAGAAGGCAGCAGGGGCCAACCCCUGGACCUCAUCUCUGUCUAGAAUGUGAGGUCGCAGGGAUGCUUAAGUCUUCCUCUGGCAGAGACCCGAGGUGCAGAGAUGAUUCUUCUCACCCCUUCUCUCAGGGUCGUGGAGCCCCAGCAGGGGUUCAGGGCCCAGAGGCUGCCCCCUCAGCUGAAGGCACAAACACUGUGGUAGGGGUGGGCAGACAACGCAUGGACUCACUCCUGGCAGGCGCCACUGGGGCCUCCUCAUUCUCGUCCUCCUCGGGCCUCUCAUAAGCACUCAGGUCCAGUCGCAGCUCGCUGCAAAGCUUCUCAUCCACUGCGAUGUGAUACAAAGACAGGGCCCCACACGCCAGCCCCUGGCGGUGACAGGCGUCCAUAGCCCUCAGCACGCGGAAGAGA